This is a long non-coding RNA of Pygocentrus nattereri (red-bellied piranha), 346 nucleotides long. RefSeq lists it as uncharacterized. Lineage: Eukaryota; Metazoa; Chordata; Actinopteri; Characiformes; Serrasalmidae. The transcript is spliced from 3 exons. The record is from RefSeq and is a predicted model, not a curated record.
UGGAAAUGGCAGCGAAACCAUGGCAGAGGAGGAGUAACCUUGACCGCAGAAUCUUCAAGGGCUGUCGGAGUGGGUUGGCGCCACAUGUCCCCUCUGUCUUUAAUCAUCACUUCGCCCCUUUGCCAGGAAUGGCCUCGGGUGGCUCCGGAGCAGAGGGUCACAAUGUGUUCCCCCUAUCGUUCCCGUAAAAUGACUGACAAAAACAGAUGCCACAGCAAACUGAGGAUGGGAUGAGGUGCAGAGCGAAAGCGUGCAUUUGCAAAUCAGAUGGUCACCUAUACAUCAACAUAUCACUGCUGCUGGUUUUGACAUAAUCUGAAAAUGCCUGUUCAUGUUGAAUGGACCA